RNAcentral lists this ribosomal RNA (392 nucleotides) under Lecidea cancriformis. Its description in RNAcentral is "SSU rRNA". It matches the Rfam family "Bacterial small subunit ribosomal RNA", at positions 533 to 949 of the family's 1533-position model. Lineage: Eukaryota; Fungi; Ascomycota; Lecanoromycetes; Lecideales; Lecideaceae. The record is from RNAcentral.
GACUAGUGUUAUUCAUCUUUAAUAGGUUUAAAGGGUACUUAGACGGUAAAUAAAGCCCGAAUAGGGAACUAAUAUACUAGAGUUUGAUGUAAGGAAGCAUGAAAGUACUGUUGGUGUAGAGAUAAAAUUCUAUCAUACCAAAUAUGGCACAGGUUUAGGCGAAAGCAUCUUCUUAUGUAAUAACUGACGUUGAAGGACGAAGGCUUUGUGUCUCGAACAGGAUUAGAUACCCCAGUAGUCUAAGCAGACAAUGAUGAAUGUCAUAGAUUAGAUUUAAUUAAAUUUAUUCUAUAAAUGAAAGUGUAAGCAUUCCACCUCAAGAGUAAUUUGGCAACAUUGGAACUGAAAUCAUUAGACCGUUUCUGAAACCAGUAGUGAAGUAUGUUGUUUAA